GUGGGGAAUAUUGGACAAUGGGCGAAAGCCUGAUCCAGCCAUGCCGCGUGUGUGAAGAAGGUCUUCGGAUUGUAAAGCACUUUAAGUUGGGAGGAAGGGCAGUAAGUUAAUACCUUGCUGUUUUGACGUUACCGACAGAAUAAGCACCGGCUAACUCUGUGCCAGCAGCCGCGGUAAUACAGAGGGUGUAAGCGUUAAUCGGAAUUACUGGGCGUAAAGCGCGCGUAGGUGGUUCGUUAAGUUGGAUGUGAAAGCCCCGGGCUCAACCUGGGAACUGCAUCCAAAACGGGCGAGCUAGAGUACGGUAGAGGGUGGUGGAAUUUCCUGUGUAGCGGUGAAAUGCGUAGAUAUAGGAAGGAACACCAGUGGCGAAGGCGACCACCUGGACUGAUACUGACACUGAGGUGCGAAAGCGUGGGGAGCAAACAGGAUUAGAAACCCUAGUAGUCC
This 450-nucleotide ribosomal RNA is filed under the name uncultured bacterium. RNAcentral describes it as "partial 16S ribosomal RNA". It matches the Rfam family "Bacterial small subunit ribosomal RNA", at positions 354 to 796 of the family's 1533-position model. The record is from RNAcentral.